This 253-nucleotide ribosomal RNA is filed under the name uncultured bacterium. RNAcentral's name for it is "partial 16S ribosomal RNA". It matches the Rfam family "Bacterial small subunit ribosomal RNA", at positions 524 to 776 of the family's 1533-position model. The record is from RNAcentral.
UACGUAGGGCGCAAGCGUUGUCCGGAAUUAUUGGGCGUAAAGAGCUCGUAGGCGGCCUGUUGCGUCCGCUGUGAAAUCCCGGGGCUCAACCCCGGGCCUGCAGUGGAUACGGGCUGGCUAGAGGCAGGCAGGGGAGAACGGAAUUCCUGGUGUAGCGGUGAAAUGCGCAGAUAUCAGGAGGAACACCGGUGGCGAAGGCGGUUCUCUGGGCCGAUACUGACGCUGAGGAGCGAAAGCGUGGGGAGCGAACAGG